RNAcentral lists this ribosomal RNA (118 nucleotides) under Echinops telfairi (small Madagascar hedgehog). Lineage: Eukaryota; Metazoa; Chordata; Mammalia; Afrosoricida; Tenrecidae. The record is from RNAcentral.
CCUGCCAGCCAUCCCUCUCUGAACCUGCCCAACAUCGGCUCAUUUUGGAAGCUAGGUGGGGUCAAGCCGGGCUAGUACUUGAUUGGGAGACUGUCUGGGAAUGCCAGGUGCUGUAGGC